GGCCCCUCAGGAGGAAGGGGCGGGGAGAUCCCAGCUACUAGAGGACGCCCGUUCCAAUGGCAACUCUGCCAAGGCGCCUAUGAGAGCCUCUUGGCUUUUACCUGGUCUGCGAGAAAUCAAACUUUGGGCACAAGUCAUGAAGCCGACAAGCCCGGGAGACACAGUGUCAGAAUUACAAGGUGAGAUCAGCCGCCCGGCCAAGCUAUCUUCUCGCUAGCAGGUCUCGCAUCUGGGGCUCGAUCUCGUGCAGAGGAGCAUUUCCGAAGACACUGGCCGCUCCCACAAUGGCUCCGAAGAACCCAGCGACCAGCGGGUUCAUGAGUUUGUUGGGGCUGUCCACUCGGUACCAGCUGCGCAGGGAUGUCAGGACAAAGAAACAAGUUGCCUGGUUCCAGCCCUGCUUCAGCACGGGGCCUGUGGGGCCCCGGUAAGUCCCGGUGUUCCCGCACAAUCUCCUAACCCUGUGGAAGAAUCCCCUGUACUUGGAUUUGGAGAGGUCUGGCCAUGGAUUAACUUCACCUUGAUGGUCUCCAUGGGACAUAGGACCACCACGGCCUCGGCCACGCUAGCUCACUGGCCGCACCGCUGCCCGCCUUGCUGUUCACCAGUCCCUGGGCAUCCCGCAUCUGGUUGCUGAGGAACGCCUGACGCCGCCUUGUGGAUGAAGCCGCAGAGCAGGGAGCUGAGGCUGCGGCCCAGGCCCAGGCUGCCUUGGCUGCGACUGUGUGCCUGCAGGCCCCAUGCCCGGUAUCCGGUGGAUGCGAGUGCUAGUCCAGCUGCAGCUGCAUCUUCACGAACUCGGUGGGGAACGGGAUGCAGAUUUUUUUUUUCUUUUCCUUCCUUCCUUCCUUCCUUCCAACUUCCUUCCUUCCUUCCCCUUUCUUUCUUUCUUUUUUUUUUUUUUUUUUUUUUGACAGAAUUUUGCUCUUGUCCCCCAGGCUGGAGUGCAGUGGCGCGAUCUUGGCUCACUACAACCUGGAUUCAAGCGAUUCUCCUGCCUCAGCCUCCCGAGUAGCUGGGAUUACAGGCAUGUGCCACCAUUCCCGGCUAAUUUUUUUGUCUUUUUAGUAGAGACGGUGUUUCCCCAUGUUGGUCAGGCUGGUCUCAAACGCCUGACUCAGAUGAUCCGCCCGCCUCGGCCACCCAAAGUGCUGAGAUUACAGGCUUGAACCACCGCGCCUGGCCCUGUGAUGUAGAUUUUGAUGCUGCCAGCCAGGCUGCCUGCCGGGAUCGCCUGCCCUGGAGCAGGAGCAUCAGCCGUGCGUUCCAGGACGCAGGCAUGGCAUGACCGGCAGGAGGCGGAGUGCCCGGCGUCUCUUGGGAUCGGAGCCUCCUGAAUUCCACGCUGGGACCUUAAUUUGGUUUUAACACAAAUAAAGAUCUCACAUAAAGAUAAAA
This 1398-nucleotide long non-coding RNA is filed under the name Homo sapiens (human). Its description in RNAcentral is "long independently transcribed non-coding RNA 2987, transcript variant 5 (LINC02987)". The record is from RNAcentral. Lineage: Eukaryota; Metazoa; Chordata; Mammalia; Primates; Hominidae.